Molecule: small nuclear RNA, 161 nt
Filed under: Meriones unguiculatus (Mongolian gerbil)
Lineage: Eukaryota; Metazoa; Chordata; Mammalia; Rodentia; Muridae
Description: U1 spliceosomal RNA (ENSMUGG00000022080.1)
Rfam family: U1 spliceosomal RNA
About the family: U1 is a small nuclear RNA (snRNA) component of the spliceosome (involved in pre-mRNA splicing). Its 5' end forms complementary base pairs with the 5' splice junction, thus defining the 5' donor site of an intron.
Source: RNAcentral
AUACAACACAGGAUUGACCAUGACCAGGAAGGUGCUUUCCCCAGGGCAAAGCUUAUCCAUUACACUCCAGACGUGCUGACGCCUGUGAUUUCUCUAAAUGCAGGAAACUCCACUUCAUAAUUUGUGGUGGUGGUGGGGGGCUGUGUUCAUGCUGUCGCUUG